Molecule: long non-coding RNA, 2064 nt
Organism: Bombus terrestris (buff-tailed bumblebee)
Lineage: Eukaryota; Metazoa; Arthropoda; Insecta; Hymenoptera; Apidae
Exons: 2
Source: RefSeq, a predicted model, not a curated record
UACAUAAGUAACAUGUAUUACUUUAAUUGUUUAGUUCAUGGAUAAUGCUAAACGAGAUUUGUUUUUCUUAUUUACAAAAUUUCAUACAUAUUACACCAAAUGAAAGUAAAAUAAGUUCAAAUAAGUUUAUUAUUACCAAAUAUAUUAAUAACAAUACUAUCGAUGGAAAAGAAAUAUUGCAGUGAUAAAUUAAAGCGAGGAUACUGAUUGACCUAGAUGCACCUAAGGCUGUUGGUAUGUUUAUUAGACUAAAAUGGAAAAAUCUUAAAUUUCAAAGUCCUCUAUUUCAACCCUCUAUUUCAAAAUCCAUUUUAAAGUCUGAAUAAUUCUCUGAUUUUACUAUAUCUUUUCCACCAACAACAUAUUUAUAAUUAUCAAAAUGCAGUCAAAAGAUUAAGAAAAGAUUAAGAAUUGCAUACACAUGGUGCACAAACGCACGCGCAUAAAUAUAUUAUUAUCGCACCUUUUUUAAGCUUAAGUAAACGAUUAAUUUAGAUCUCUUUUCUUCAAUUAGACGAUCAUUUAUUUAUACGCUAUGUUUAACAGUAAUUAUUAUAUUUAUGAACUAGAAGGAUAAACAACAAAUCACGAACGCAUAACAAAAUAUUGCUCGCGCUUUACAGGCAAUGUACAAGGAUGUCGUCGUAUUAAAACUUUAUAAAUACGAAAAAUAGCAGAAUAUUAAAGCUGUACGAUAUUACUAUCAUUGCAGGCGUAUAAGUUCGUAGGUUUUCUCGUGCUACCCAUAACUAAAGCUUCGUGGUACUCGACAAAAGUUUUCUUUGACAACGUUUACCGUGUAUCGAUGUUAUUUGUUACUAAAAUACCAGAUUUCUAAAAUUCGGAUUUACAUUGAUAAAUACAAACGUAGUACAUUAACUUUUGUUCCUUAGAUUUUAUAAUUCUAAGUCUUUGUAAUCAUAUAUGGAAAUUUAACAUAAUUGAAACGAUUUCAUACAAUCUUUGAUCAAUAGCUGAAUAUUCGCUUACCAAAAUUUGACUACUGGCAGUAUUGUUGGAAGUACGUCGAUUGAAAGAAGCUAAUAAUAAGAACGUCCUAAUGACAUUUUCUUUAUAUUUUUAUCAACUUGGUACUCGUUGUCAAUAUACUCAUUGAGUCACUCGAUCAUAGGCAAUUAAAAGCUAUUUUCGAUUCAUAAUAUUGCUUUUUUCACCUCAACUUUUUCAAUUACAAAUGACAAAUUUACGAUAUUAUUUACUACGUAUCUAAGAACAAAAAAAAAAACAGUAAUCUUGUUGGUAUAUUUAAUUUUCUUGAACACUAUGAUUUUAUUUGAUGAUAACUACUUUCGCUCAAGCAAAAAUAAAAAUAUCAAAUAAAUCGUAACAUCUAGAAAAUUAAAGAAAGAGUUUUAACGAUUACUGUUAAUUUUUGUUUGCAUAGAGAUAAAAUCAAAUAAAAUCUCCGUAUAUCGUAGCAGAUAUAUAUUCACGUAUAGAUCGUGAUGUAUCCGUUUGUUCGCAAAUCAUGAAACAAGUAUUCAGUAUACUUUCGAGACCCGGAAGAUAUGUAUGUUUAUGUAUACAUAAGAAUCAAGCAAUUAGGCAUGUUUCUCCUUCUAUUAGUUCCAAACUAACUCUAAGAAACUCAUUGAAUUUAUGGUAAACGUUGAUGUUUUAAGUGCGGACGAUAGAUUCUUAAAAUAAAAAUUUCGUCAACGCACAUACAAUAUAAUUGUGAAGAAUUUACAUAUAUCAGACCUUUCCAUCGCGUGUGCCGAUAAGCUAUGGAAUUCUAGAUCGUGUUUCAGUGUAGAGGAACACUUGUACGUAUAAGGCAUCUAUCAUUAAUAACAAUAUUUUUCUCAAAGAUCCUCGAUUUCACUAGAAGUGGUGAAGAAUUACACAGCCUCAAAGGUUCCGCCGUUGAACAGAUCUGAUUUACAGAAUAAAGCUAUCAUUUAUAUAAAUAAGCGUAUGUUAUCAUGUUAAAAAAGGGAAAUAAUCGAAGAAUAUACAAACUUGUCCCAAAAGAAAAAGAGUCCACAAAUUAAUCAUUUUAAAUGAAGUUGUACAUUUUUAUUUUGGUGUCCAUUUAAACAU